GUAGGGUGCGAGCGUUGUCCGGAAUUAUUGGGCGUAAAGAGCUUGUAGGCGGUUUGUCGCGUCUGCAGUGAAAAUCCGAGGCUCAACCUCGGACUUGCUGUGGGUACGGGCAGACUAGAGUAUGGUAGGGGAGACCGGAAUUCCUGGUGUAGCGGUGGAAUGCGCAGAUAUCAGGAGGAACACCGAUGGCGAAGGCAGGUCUCUGGGCCAUAACUGACGCUGAGAAGCGGAAGCAUGGGGAGCGAACAGGAUUAGAUACCCUGGUAGUCCAUGCCGUAGACGUUGGGCGCUAGGUGUGGGGCUCAUUCCACGAGCUCCGUGCCGCAGCUAACGCAUUAAGCGCCCCGCCUGGGGAGUACGGCCGCAAGGCUA
This 372-nucleotide ribosomal RNA is filed under the name uncultured bacterium. Its description in RNAcentral is "bacterial SSU rRNA". It matches the Rfam family "Bacterial small subunit ribosomal RNA", at positions 527 to 896 of the family's 1533-position model. The record is from RNAcentral.